UGGGGAAUUUUGGACAAUGGGGGGAACCCUGAUCCAGCAACGCCGCGUGAAUGAAGAAGGCCUUAGGGUUGUAAAGUUCUUUUAUCCUUGAGCAAAGACUGCGGGUUAAUAACUUGCGGUGAUGAGAGUAGAGGAAGAAUAAGCACCGGCUAACUACGUGCCAGCAGCCGCGGUAAUACGUAGGGUGCGAGCGUUAAUCGGAAUUACUGGGCGUAAAGGGUGCGCAGGCGGAUAUGUAAGUUAGAUGUGAAAUACCUGAGCUCAACUUGGGAGGUGCAUUUAAGACUGCAAGUCUAGAGUUUGUCAGAGGGGGGUAGAAUUCCAAGUGUAGCAGUGAAAUGCGUAGAGAUUUGGAGGAAUACCGGUGGCGAAGGCGGCCCCCUGGGAUAGAACUGACGCUCAUGCACGAAAGCGUGGGGAGCAAACAGG
Molecule: ribosomal RNA, 429 nt
Filed under: uncultured bacterium
Lineage: Bacteria
Description: bacterial SSU rRNA
Rfam family: Bacterial small subunit ribosomal RNA
Source: RNAcentral